UACUGCUAAUUCUUCUCUGAAAUGAUCUAGCUGGUCUUCAUGUCUGAGUGCAGAGUACCUAGCAGAUUGUUGGUGCUAUGCGUGUAACAAAACUCCAUUAUAUCCGUUAGUGAUAAGCAUCCUUGACAUCCCUGGUUUCCAGACAUUCCCAUCCCAAAAAUAUUUUGUGGAUUAUGAAAACUUGUUGGAUUUUGCACAGAGCCCCACAAAAUCUAGGACGAGUUCUCAUUUCAGGGGAAUGUUUGUGUAUUUAAAAAAAAAUAAACUAUUUCUACUGGAGUUAAAUUUAAACAAGAAACUCCUGGAAACAUUUCUGUUGUUCUUAGGUUUAAUACAAGUGGAUCUUUACUGGGCUUAAAUUUGGAACCAGAUUGGACCUGAUUAUAAAGUUCUUACUCAUUUCUCAGUAACACAAGCCCUCUUCAGUCUGAAAUAUGUUGCACAGCAUUGUAUUGAUUCCUUAUGGGCUAUUACUAAGACAAAACCAUCUUAGAGUCCUUUUAUCUUGCAACUUAUCAUACUACAUUGUAGGGAGCCUUCUGCUCCAAUGUAUGUCUUUCCUCAAGAAACCAGUUCUCUGUUGAAACAGGAGGAUCAUUAGCUUUCAAGUACUUAUCAUGGGGUUUCAAGAGGGAGCUAAAAAUAGUCUAUUCUGAUAACAGCUUCAUAUGACAAAUGUCAGGCUCUUCUAAUGCCUCCCUUUAUAAGACACAGGGCAAGCCAACCAACAUUUUCACAGUUGUCAAGGAACACUCUAAGCUGAAACACACUAGAACAAAACCUGACAGUGAACCACUGCUGCAUCUGUGUGCUGGUUAUAUAAGGAGGUCAUAUUAGGUGAUUGCAGUGAUCCCUUCUGGCCUUGGAACCUACAAAUCUAUGAAUCAAACUGAAAGACACCACUAAGAGGCAAUAAAACAGAUAAAGAUGAAUCAAUCACUGGACUGGAAGUUGGUGGUUGCCUAGGGUCCUUAUCUUCAAGGUGCUCCCUGGCCUGGGCUUAGGAGAGCUAAAACACUGCCUACAGCUCCAGGAUGAAGACUGUGGUCAACAACUUCACUCCUCUAGUACAGUAGAGCUCCCUACAGUAAGAGUAAAGCUCCUCUGCUCUGGAGACAAAACUUUCUUGGGGGCCAGUUCAAGACUAUGGAAUGGACUCCCACAGAAACUAAAGACCAUUACACUCUUCACCAUCUUCAACUCCAAGGUCAAGAUGCAUUUUUUUGACCUUGUCUUCUCUAAUAUGAAUGAAUAGCAUAUAUAUUUUAAUAGCAAACACAAAACAAAAAAUGUGCCACAACAACAACACAAAAAACAAUACACACACACACACACCCUGGAAAAAAACACGUGCCUCCACAAAACACUCCAAUUCAUGCACUUUUUCUCCCCCUGAGGAGAGGAUGAGAGAGCAACCAAUGUGUGACUGAUGUUGGUCAUGUUGUUCAAUGCACUGCUGAAAGGUGCUCAGAUAUUAUGGUGAUGAGUACAGUAUAAGAACCUAUAUAGAAUAGGAGGACUUGUGGCACCUUAGAGACUAACAAAUUUAUUUGAGCAUAAGCUUUCGUGAGCUACAGCUCACUUCAUCAGAUGCAUUCAGUGGAAAAUACAAACUAACAUGGCUGCUACUCUGAAACCUAUAUAGAAUAGAAUUCUUGCUAUAUACCAUUUCUGUUCAGCAGCUGAAUGAGCUACCAUAACUCUCUCCCAUAAACAUAGGUGCUAAACUCUGCCUCUGGGCUUCUUGACAGGUAGAAAGAGUUCCUUGAACUUCUGCUUCAAUCCAUCUAUAUGGCUGGCUCAUUUCAGCCACCACUGCAAUUGCAAUUAAUUUUUGUUUCAAGGACUGUGAUCCCAAUUACAAUACAAAUCUCACCAACAAAGAACUAGAUUUUUUUACUG
Dermochelys coriacea (leatherback sea turtle) is the source of this 1902-nucleotide long non-coding RNA. RefSeq lists it as uncharacterized. NCBI's taxonomy places the organism in Eukaryota, Metazoa, Chordata, Testudines, Dermochelyidae. The record is from RefSeq and is a predicted model, not a curated record. The transcript has 3 exons.